AGCACUGUUCGUGAAACCCCAACACUGGAAAACAACCAAGUAUCCAUCCGCAGUGCGAUGAAUAAAUAAAGAGCAAUAUAGUCACGCGGGAUGGUGAUGACACAGCAAUGAGGACAGAAGAGCCACCACUGCAUGCCACAGCUGUCUCUGCAGCUGGCUGUCUCCGACCACGUCACUCACGCGAUGAAUGGGGACCAAGCCCCCACUUGUCCCUGACACUUGUCCAGGUACCAGCAGGACGCCAGCGGACAGGGCCUGGUGUGGAGCACCCCAACAUCGCCCUUGGAACCAGCCGAAGACCAGAAGCAGCCCCCACAGACACUCAAGUGUAGUCGCCUUGGACUUUGAGGCAAAAGAAUUUCAAGUGUAUGCAAGAUUCAUCCUUCGACUCUGUGAGACAAGAACCCUGCACCCCACAACACUAGGAGGGUACAAAACUCCCACCAUCGAGGCCUCCUGACAUCCACCCAGCCCUGGAGUCUGCAUCGGGGGAGCUCAGGACCCUGGCGCGGUAUCAGGGGCAGACCCGCUGGUGGCACGCAGGACGAGUCAAACCUGCUGAGCUCUGAAUUCUCCUGUUGCUCAGGAGCCUUCUCU
Ailuropoda melanoleuca (giant panda) is the source of this 597-nucleotide long non-coding RNA. RefSeq lists it as uncharacterized. The transcript is spliced from 3 exons. Lineage: Eukaryota; Metazoa; Chordata; Mammalia; Carnivora; Ursidae. The record is from RefSeq and is a predicted model, not a curated record.